Oncorhynchus tshawytscha (Chinook salmon) is the source of this 768-nucleotide long non-coding RNA. NCBI's taxonomy places the organism in Eukaryota, Metazoa, Chordata, Actinopteri, Salmoniformes, Salmonidae. The record is from Ensembl.
ACAGGCCUACCAGCCAAAACAACAACUGGCAGAAUAGUGCUACCUGGAGCAUCCACCUCAUAGGUCUCCAACAAAAGGAAUCUGCAUUCACAAGUGCUGUGCAAUCCCAGGGGAUAAUUGCAAUGAUGUCUGCAUUCCAGACAAAGGUACUGAUGAAGCUAGACAUUAUAAUUGAGAACCAGCAAGAGCAACUGAGGCUCCUUAUUGCUACAAGGCCAUCGACCAAGGCUGAGGACCUCGACAUUCUGCCAUCACCGUUGACCUGAAGCUACUGUUUAAGAAGGGUAGCCUAGUGGUUAGUGGUUAGAGCGUUGGACUAUUAACCGGAAGGUUGCAAGUUCAAAUCCCCGAGCUGACAAGGUACAAAUCUGUCGUUCUGCCCCUGAACAGGCAGUUAACCCACUGUUCCUAGGCUGUCAUUGAAAAUAAGAAUUUGUUCCUAACUGACUUGCCUAGUAAAAUAAAAAUAAAAUAAAAUCUCAACAGGGGAUAAUUUUCACAAACAAUUGUUAUGUUCUCACUGCAAGUACUUCUUCGCCACAAAAAGAUAAACACCGGCCGGUAAAGUAUUAUAGGGCUACUACUGUAGGUCACAUCUUCUUCAUUGUUUCAGUCAGACAUACCAGGAAUCAAAUUCUCUAUUACUUUGGUAUUGUCCAUAUGUAGCUCGUUUUUGGUCACAGGUCCAGGAAUGGCUGAAGAAUUGCAACAUUUGCCUAGAACUAACACUGCAGAUAGCAAUACUGGGUGAUUUGAAAAGCCAUAGAC